This 468-nucleotide ribosomal RNA is filed under the name uncultured bacterium. Its description in RNAcentral is "partial 16S ribosomal RNA". It matches the Rfam family "Bacterial small subunit ribosomal RNA", at positions 28 to 507 of the family's 1533-position model. The record is from RNAcentral.
GACGAACGCUGGCGGCGUGCUUAACACAUGCAAGUCGAGCGGAAGGGCCCUGCUCUUGUGGGUUGCUCGUGUGGCGAACGGGUGAGUAACACGUGAGUAACCCGCCCUUGACAGUCGGGUAUCUUCAGGGAACUGGGGCGAAUACCGGAUAGGAUCUUCUGCUGCGCGGGGGGGAUAGGAAAGAUACGGCGGUUGUGGAUGGAUUCGCGGGUUAUCGGCUGGUUUGUGAGGUAGGUGCUUUCCAAGCCUAUGACGGGUAGCCGGCCUUGGAGGGUGGCCGGGCACCUUGGGCCUGCGGUACGCCCCAGACUCCUACGGGCGGCAGCAGUGGAGAACAUUGCGGAAUGGCCGGACGCCUGAUGCAGCGGCGCUGCGUGCGGGAUGCCGGCUUUCGGGUUGUGAACCGCUUUCGCCUGUGCCGAAGCGUGCGUGACGGUAAUGGGUAAAGAAGCCCCGGCUAACUACGUG